Molecule: long non-coding RNA, 1611 nt
Organism: Haplochromis burtoni (Burton's mouthbrooder)
Lineage: Eukaryota; Metazoa; Chordata; Actinopteri; Cichliformes; Cichlidae
Exons: 5
Source: RefSeq, a predicted model, not a curated record
GAUAAAGACACCGAUGGCGAUAAAGAGACCGAUGGCGAUGAAGAGACUGGAAAUAUCAAUGAAGGAAGCCCCGCCCACGAUGAAAACAAAGGUCAAGAAACUGGUACCAACGACAAUACAGAGGGGAAGAAAGAGGAAGUGCAGGCUCCUCAAAUGGAAGUAAAUGUUGUGGAAAAUCCUGACGACAAUAUGGAAGAUUCUCAGACGAACGACACUGGCACCAGCAGUGGAGGAGAGACGAACGAUCCUGUCGAGGACUCGGAACAAGCUGAUUCAACUCUAACUCAGUCCAAAGGCACUGAGAAGAAAGACUGACCAGCUGAAGGGAAGACAAUCAGCCUCAUCUGACAGCCAGCAAACUGUGCGAAGGCCACACUGGUGUCAGCCUGGCCCAUGUCAGUAUGGGCUCUGACACUGGCCCAGGAAAACCAGUUACUCACAAGAUGCUCACAUUCCCAAGUUUACUUACCCUCCCCUCUCUUGGUUAAACUAUUCAUCCCUGAAAUAUGUAUGUACUAUAUGUAUAUGUAUGUACAAAACCUUACUUAUAGGACUUGAACAUAUCAACCAGAAAAGAUGAGCCAUACCUCACUGUGUGUUAGAGUCAUACAUCAUUCUGCCCGAAGGGUGCAAUGAGAUAAACCAGGUUCAAGUCUUGCUAUUUGAUAAACCCACUGUGAGAGCAUGGCGAAGCUGUCAUUGGACAACAGCCACAGCUCCUACAUGUUGACACUCCCGGCUGGGUGAUGCUAAACAUCAACCAUCCUUUUUAGUUUUUACUGACGCCACCAGUACAGUCACGAUGGCGCUCGGUAGUGGGACGACAGCCUGCAUUUGUAAUCUGCUUUGGAGUGCGACACACUGACACCUGCCACGUCUCCUCACACACCGCCGCAGCUUCGAUUUCCAUUCUUUAGUCAGAUCGGCCAAUGCCCCGAUUCGCGUUGCGGUCUGUGAGGCGACGUGCCGCUUGCCAGGCCUUUCAUCUGAACAUCACUAAUCAAGUCUCAUCUCCGCUGCUGCCGUGACUGCAGCUUUACUCAUUUUAACCAGGAAACUGUUCAUUAACGCCCGUGCACAUAAACGAGGAUGUGAGUGUCUUUUCAACAAAUCGAUUUGAGUCUUCUUUUUAAUUUCCCCUCCCUCCCCUUUCCUUUUUCUUUGCCAUUUCCAGUGCAUGCCAGGAAAUUGCUUUGAACUUCACCUACAUAAACAAGAAUUGCAGUCUUCUUCGCUUUCGCUUGUCUUCUUACCAGAUUGUCUAUAAUUGUAUCGAAUGAAUCUGCCUUAUUUCAUAUCAAAUUACAAAAAAACCAUCACAAUCACAGACCUGAGGAGGAGAUGUAUGAGUUCUUGGUUGUGUAUUGCUUGCAGAUGAUUUGUAUUUUUAAGUACAUGUAAUGGCUAACACCUGUUUUUUCUUUCUUUCUUUAAUUUUUAAAAAAGGGGUUUUGCUUUGUUUCAAAUGUUGGUAUGAGUCAUUAAUUAUUUUCAGUGGUGCCAUACUAAAGAUCAGAGAAAUUACAGUUCUUAGAAAUGAUGCCUUCAUACUUUGAUGUUUGCUUUGCUAAAUUAUAACACAAAAAACAACUAAUAAAAUUUAAGGUGGAA